RNAcentral lists this ribosomal RNA (2468 nucleotides) under Staphylococcus aureus. RNAcentral's name for it is "partial 23S ribosomal RNA". It matches the Rfam family "Bacterial large subunit ribosomal RNA", at positions 444 to 2925 of the family's 2925-position model. Lineage: Bacteria; Bacillati; Bacillota; Bacilli; Caryophanales; Staphylococcaceae. The record is from RNAcentral.
CUGGGAGGACCAUCUCCUAAGGCUAAAUACUCUCUAGUGACCGAUAGUGAACCAGUACCGUGAGGGAAAGGUGAAAAGCACCCCGGAAGGGGAGUGAAAUAGAACCUGAAACCGUGUGCUUACAAGUAGUCAGAGCCCGUUAAUGGGUGAUGGCGUGCCUUUUGUAGAAUGAACCGGCGAGUUACGAUUUGAUGCAAGGUUAAGCAGUAAAUGUGGAGCCGUAGCGAAAGCGAGUCUGAAUAGGGCGUUUAGUAUUUGGUCGUAGACCCGAAACCAGGUGAUCUACCCUUGGUCAGGUUGAAGUUCAGGUAACACUGAAUGGAGGACCGAACCGACUUACGUUGAAAAGUGAGCGGAUGAACUGAGGGUAGCGGAGAAAUUCCAAUCGAACCUGGAGAUAGCUGGUUCUCUCCGAAAUAGCUUUAGGGCUAGCCUCAAGUGAUGAUUAUUGGAGGUAGAGCACUGUUUGGACGAGGGGCCCCUCUCGGGUUACCGAAUUCAGACAAACUCCGAAUGCCAAUUAAUUUAACUUGGGAGUCAGAACAUGGGUGAUAAGGUCCGUGUUCGAAAGGGAAACAGCCCAGACCACCAGCUAAGGUCCCAAAAUAUAUGUUAAGUGGAAAAGGAUGUGGCGUUGCCCAGACAACUAGGAUGUUGGCUUAGAAGCAGCCAUCAUUUAAAGAGUGCGUAAUAGCUCACUAGUCGAGUGACACUGCGCCGAAAAUGUACCGGGGCUAAACAUAUUACCGAAGCUGUGGAUUGUCCUUUGGACAAUGGUAGGAGAGCGUUCUAAGGGCGUUGAAGCAUGAUCGUAAGGACAUGUGGAGCGCUUAGAAGUGAGAAUGCCGGUGUGAGUAGCGAAAGACGGGUGAGAAUCCCGUCCACCGAUUGACUAAGGUUUCCAGAGGAAGGCUCGUCCGCUCUGGGUUAGUCGGGUCCUAAGCUGAGGCCGACAGGCGUAGGCGAUGGAUAACAGGUUGAUAUUCCUGUACCACCUAUAAUCGUUUUAAUCGAUGGGGGGACGCAGUAGGAUAGGCGAAGCGUGCGAUUGGAUUGCACGUCUAAGCAGUAAGGCUGAGUAUUAGGCAAAUCCGGUACUCGUUAAGGCUGAGCUGUGAUGGGGAGAAGACAUUGAGUCUUCGAGUCGUUGAUUUCACACUGCCGAGAAAAGCCUCUAGAUAGAAAAUAGGUGCCCGUACCGCAAACCGACACAGGUAGUCAAGAUGAGAAUUCUAAGGUGAGCGAGCGAACUCUCGUUAAGGAACUCGGCAAAAUGACCCCGUAACUUCGGGAGAAGGGGUGCUCUUUAGGGUUAACGCCCAGAAGAGCCGCAGUGAAUAGGCCCAAGCGACUGUUUAUCAAAAACACAGGUCUCUGCUAAACCGUAAGGUGAUGUAUAGGGGCUGACGCCUGCCCGGUGCUGGAAGGUUAAGAGGAGUGGUUAGCUUCUGCGAAGCUACGAAUCGAAGCCCCAGUAAACGGCGGCCGUAACUAUAACGGUCCUAAGGUAGCGAAAUUCCUUGUCGGGUAAGUUCCGACCCGCACGAAAGGCGUAACGAUUUGGGCACUGUCUCAACGAGAGACUCGGUGAAAUCAUAGUACCUGUGAAGAUGCAGGUUACCCGCGACAGGACGGAAAGACCCCGUGGAGCUUUACUGUAGCCUGAUAUUGAAAUUCGGCACAGCUUGUACAGGAUAGGUAGGAGCCUUUGAAACGUGAGCGCUAGCUUACGUGGAGGCGCUGGUGGGAUACUACCCUAGCUGUGUUGGCUUUCUAACCCGCACCACUUAUCGUGGUGGGAGACAGUGUCAGGCGGGCAGUUUGACUGGGGCGGUCGCCUCCUAAAAGGUAACGGAGGCGCUCAAAGGUUCCCUCAGAAUGGUUGGAAAUCAUUCAUAGAGUGUAAAGGCAUAAGGGAGCUUGACUGCGAGACCUACAAGUCGAGCAGGGUCGAAAGACGGACUUAGUGAUCCGGUGGUUCCGCAUGGAAGGGCCAUCGCUCAACGGAUAAAAGCUACCCCGGGGAUAACAGGCUUAUCUCCCCCAAGAGUUCACAUCGACGGGGAGGUUUGGCACCUCGAUGUCGGCUCAUCGCAUCCUGGGGCUGUAGUCGGUCCCAAGGGUUGGGCUGUUCGCCCAUUAAAGCGGUACGCGAGCUGGGUUCAGAACGUCGUGAGACAGUUCGGUCCCUAUCCGUCGUGGGCGUAGGAAAUUUGAGAGGAGCUGUCCUUAGUACGAGAGGACCGGGAUGGACAUACCUCUGGUGUACCAGUUGUCGUGCCAACGGCAUAGCUGGGUAGCUAUGUGUGGACGGGAUAAGUGCUGAAAGCAUCUAAGCAUGAAGCCCCCCUCAAGAUGAGAUUUCCCAACUUCGGUUAUAAGAUCCCUCAAAGAUGAUGAGGUUAAUAGGUUCGAGGUGGAAGCAUGGUGACAUGUGGAGCUGACGAAUACUAAUCGAUCGAAGACUU